AGGCGAAAGGUUCUGGAGCUCUCUCCGUAUCUCUUCUCUCUCUCUUUUCUCUCUAUCAUAUCAGGACCAGAUCGGCUCACAUUCGAGUGAUGGAGGCUCAGGAGUUUGGAGAGAUGAUGGAGCAUGUCAACGAGGUCAAUUUCGCUUUCGAUGGCCUUAGGAAACCCCAGCCCAUACGGAUCAGAAGGGCUAGCUUGUUGUCCAUAUGCGCCACUGUACAGCAGAGACGCCUCUUGCGGACUUAAGGGCGUAGAAAGUAGGGUCUAGAUCACUCUCUCCAGAGCACUCAUGCUGCUAAUUGUUGCCACAGUUAGAAGAACAUUCAUGGAUGCAGACGAAUUGAGAUGGGUGGCAUGACAAUAUCACUUGGUAAGAUAAGAGAUUUAAGGUGGUGACAAGUUUUCUGCUGAACUUCAAGAUCAAACAUUCAAAAUUAAUCUCUUUAAGAAGAAAAGAUUGGACCAACUUUAGUGUGCAAGGACAACCUGGAGAGAACUAUAGUGUUUUGCUAUUAUGGUGCUACUGCAACAAUAGAAAAGGAGAUAUUCAUUGUAGCUCUUAGAAAAGCUCUUGGGGGAGUUUUUUUUUUUUUUAAAAUAACUUUUGGAAGUUUUUGGAGAGUGAUUAAUGAUUAGGUUAUACUUUUACAUUGUAUA
This is a long non-coding RNA of Quercus robur (English oak), 656 nucleotides long. RefSeq lists it as uncharacterized. The record is from RefSeq and is a predicted model, not a curated record. The transcript has 4 exons. Lineage: Eukaryota; Viridiplantae; Streptophyta; Magnoliopsida; Fagales; Fagaceae.